AAAUUAGCAGUGAGAAAGAGGAGUAAAACUUAAGUUAAGUAUUAAGAGAGGAAAGCACAUGGCUGUAAGGUUUUCUAUAUUUACAAGUUUGAAGGUAGCUUUUGAGCUUCUUUGCUGAAUUUUUAGUAGGUAAAGACGGCAGUCGUGUCGUUAUAGAAUAAGAGCCCAUGAUUUUGUGGGAAUAAAGGUGGUACCGCGAGUCUUCGUCCUUUUU
Molecule: non-coding RNA, 214 nt
Filed under: Clostridium cavendishii
Lineage: Bacteria; Bacillati; Bacillota; Clostridia; Eubacteriales; Clostridiaceae
Description: T-box sequence
Rfam family: T-box leader
About the family: Uncharged tRNA acts as the effector for transcription antitermination of genes in the T-box leader family. T-boxes are found upstream of many aminoacyl-tRNA synthetase genes and some amino acid biosynthetic genes usually in Gram-positive bacteria.
Source: RNAcentral